UUAGUUAGGGGGUUUUGGUUUUGUGCCAUUGACCUUUUUUUAUUGACACCCUUAAUGUUACGAUUUUUUCAAAAACUAGCCCAAUUUUAACAGUAAACGUAAGUUGACCAUAAGUCAAACGACGGGUCAACAAAAUAGCUUAUGUGACAUGCCACAUAAGCAUGAUGUCAUCAAUUUUUUUUUUCAUUUUUUUCCAUAUUCUUUCUUCUUCUUUUUUUCUCUUUCUCUCUUCCCCUCUAAAACAUUUUUUUUCUCAAUGCUUUCCCAAAUUUUCUCUUUCCAAACACCCAAAUUCGGAUUAUCUUAUUUAGAAACAUGAUUCGAAAUUGAGAAACAUGUGACUAACUAAGAAAACACAAUAUUACAAUCUUACAACAAAGAAAACAUGAUUCGAAUUAUCUACCCUAUCAAACCAGCUAAC
RNAcentral lists this long non-coding RNA (421 nucleotides) under Gossypium raimondii (Peruvian cotton). Its description in RNAcentral is "long non-coding RNA (GRAI_LNC006128)". The record is from RNAcentral. Lineage: Eukaryota; Viridiplantae; Streptophyta; Magnoliopsida; Malvales; Malvaceae.